RNAcentral lists this ribosomal RNA (230 nucleotides) under uncultured bacterium. Its description in RNAcentral is "partial 16S ribosomal RNA". It matches the Rfam family "Bacterial small subunit ribosomal RNA", at positions 562 to 791 of the family's 1533-position model. The record is from RNAcentral.
AAAGGGUGUGUAGGCGGGUAUUUAAGUCAGUGGUGAAAUCUCCGAGCUCAACUCGGAAACUGCCAUUGAUACUAUUUAUCUUGAAUAUUGUUGAGGUAGGCGGAAUAUGUCAUGUAGCGGUGAAAUGCUUAGAUAUGACAUAGAACACCGAUUGCGAAGGCAGCUUGCUAAACAAUUAUUGACGCUGAGGCACGAAAGCGUGGGGAUCAAACAGGAUUAGAUACCCGGGU